Molecule: ribosomal RNA, 403 nt
Filed under: uncultured soil bacterium
Lineage: Bacteria
Description: bacterial SSU rRNA
Rfam family: Bacterial small subunit ribosomal RNA
Source: RNAcentral
AGAUUGAACGCUAGCGGGAUGCUUUACACAUGCAAGUCGAACGGCAGCGCGGACUUCGGUCUGGCGGCGAGGGGCGAACGGGUGAGUAAUAUAUCGGAACGUGCCCAGUAGCGGGGGAUAACUACGCGAAAGCGUGGCUAAUACCGCAUACGCCCUACGGGGGAAAGGGGGGGAUUCUUCGGAACCUCUCACUAUUGGAGCGGCCGAUAUCAGAUUAGCUAGUUGGUGAGGUAAAGGCUCACCAAGGCGACGAUCUGUAGCUGGUUUGAGAGGACGACCAGCCACACUGGGACUGAGACACGGCCCAGACUCCUACGGGAGCAGCAGUGGGGAAUUUUGGACAAUGGGGGAAACCCUGAUCAGCCAUCCGCGUGUGCGAUGAAGGCCUGGUGUAAGACACUUG